This is a long non-coding RNA of Silurus meridionalis, 862 nucleotides long. RefSeq lists it as uncharacterized. The record is from RefSeq and is a predicted model, not a curated record. The transcript is spliced from 2 exons. Lineage: Eukaryota; Metazoa; Chordata; Actinopteri; Siluriformes; Siluridae.
UUACUCUAGAUUGCCUGGACUCCUUGCUGUGUAGGCCCUGUGCCCCGCCUUAUGCCCGUCCAAUUAAGUUCUUUGUUCUUUGCACUCUAGUUUCUUAGUUUCUUUUGUUUGACUUUUGUAGAUUCAAUAAAACUACUUAGUUUUACUCUUGGUUUCUGCUGCCUGGUGAUUCUUGACACAGCCACACCAAGCUGCUACUUCUGGGCACCUGAGAAAGUUAUAUGAAUGUGAUAAAUGUGAGUUGCUCCAGAUAAGGGCAUCUGCCAAAUGCUGUAAAUACAAUUAUAAAGACAAGCAGGGAAGAAGGGGUUUCUGAUAUGACAGCUCAGUGAGGUAAGGUGCUAGCUGUUGUCACCCUGUUGCAUAAAUCAGACUUCCUUUUUUGCAUUCCAAUCACCAUGGACAGCUCUCAUUGCCUCGGCCUGUAUGCAGACCUGCCGGCGAAUCGGCUUUGCCCUCUGGACGGAAGGAGGUUAGCCGUCAUUCUAGAUUAAUAGGCUCAUUUGCCAUUUUAACCUCGCCUGACCCUCUUUAACCCUUUCACACUGGACAAUGGUAUACACUCUGAUGUCAGUCACCUUGUACAAACGGUGUCAAUUUCAAAAUCCUGGUGUGCUGCCAUGGGGAAUUUGAAACAAUCUAUGAGAAAAAUCACAGGAAAUAGAAAUAGCAUAGUAAUGAUUAUUUUCUUUUUUUUAAUUAUACAAAAUCUAUUGUCUGGUAAUAACAGAAUAACAGAGCCAUAUGCAUGGGUAUAGGUUUUUAGAGACACUGAGAAUCUCAUGUCUUCCCAACACUUUUUUCGUAAAUUCUUUUUUUUUUUUCUCAUGAAUAAAGUUGGUCCCAGAGCUUACUAAAAAUA